Molecule: long non-coding RNA, 416 nt
Filed under: Androctonus crassicauda
Lineage: Eukaryota; Metazoa; Arthropoda; Arachnida; Scorpiones; Buthidae
Source: RNAcentral
ACAUAUUAAACACAGAACAUAUAUCUAAUAUUACUUAAAUAACACACUACAUAUAAAGUCUAUAUAAAUGCACUGGAUAAUACUUGUACGGAGAGGAAGUAGUCCACUGACCAGGCAUACAUGGCUUGGUAUUCACCACAGGGGACGGGUAUCAUAUUACAUCAGCACAGUAGUACUAGACGACGUUUGUGUUGUAUGGAAUGGAGAGCAGACUGCCCAAGAUGAGAACCACCUAGUGGAAAGCCUAACAGAUCAAACCAUGGGUUUGACUUAAAUUGGAAGAAAACUCCGCAAACACUUUCCAUUUCUUAGAUAUACAGGUUAAUGUAGAAAAUGGAGAAUACGUCACCACGGUAUACAAGAAACCCAUGUAUACACUGAUUAUAAUACUGGCCUGGUCAAAAGAUCCUAUUAGA